Non-coding RNA from Hordeum vulgare subsp. vulgare (domesticated barley), 135 nucleotides. The record is from Rfam. NCBI's taxonomy places the organism in Eukaryota, Viridiplantae, Streptophyta, Magnoliopsida, Poales, Poaceae.
CACAUACUCCCUAUGUCCCAAAAUUCUUGUCUUAGAUUUAUCAAAAUAUAAAUGUAUCUAGUCAUGUUUUAGUAUUAGAUACAUCCGCAUCUAGACAAAUCUUAGACAAGAAUUUUGGGACGGAGGUAGUAUUUA